GACGAACGCUGGCGGCGUGCCUAAUACAUGCAAGUAGAACGCUGAAGGAGGAGCUUGCUUCUCUGGAUGAGUUGCGAACGGGUGAGUAACGCGUAGGUAACCUGCCUGGUAGCGGGGGAUAACUAUUGGAAACGAUAGCUACUACCGCAUAAGAGUAGAUGUUGCAUUACAUUUGCUUAAAAGGUGCAAUUGCAUCACUACCAGAUGGACCUGCGUUGUAUUAGCUAGUUGGUGGGGUAACGGCUCACCAAGGCGACGAUACAUAGCCGACCUGAGAGGGUGAUCGGCCACACUGGGACUGAGACACGGCCCAGACUCCUACGGGAGGCAGCAGUAGGGAAUCUUCGGCAAUGGAAGGAAGUCUGACCGUGCAACGCCGCGUGAGUGCAGAAGGUUUUCGGAUCGUAAAGCUCUGUUGUAAGAGAAGAACGAGUGUGAGAGUGGAAAGUUCACACUGUGACGGUAUCUUACCAGAAAGGGACGGCUAACUACGUG
This 495-nucleotide ribosomal RNA is filed under the name uncultured bacterium. RNAcentral's name for it is "partial 16S ribosomal RNA". It matches the Rfam family "Bacterial small subunit ribosomal RNA", at positions 28 to 507 of the family's 1533-position model. The record is from RNAcentral.